Molecule: long non-coding RNA, 1053 nt
Filed under: Canis lupus dingo (dingo)
Lineage: Eukaryota; Metazoa; Chordata; Mammalia; Carnivora; Canidae
Description: lncRNA (ENSCAFG00020020006.1)
Source: RNAcentral
CCCCCGCCCCCGCCCCCGCCAGCUCAGGGGGACCAGGCGAGCCUGGGCCUGGGCCGGGCCCCGCGGCAGCGGCGGGAACGAGGCCGGAGGCUGCGCAUCCGGGCCCGCGCCGCGAUCUGCGUGGUGUGUGACCCUGGGCGAGUCAUUCGUCUUCCCGGGCUUCGGUUCUGUCCCGUGUCAGGUGGGCGGGUUGGGAGGUCGACCUCGGCCGGCUCCGCCACCCGGUAGGUUCCGAGUGUCGCCGGGAAUCCAGCGCGAGGCUCGGGGGCAGGACCGCGGGAGCGGGUUCGGGGCGGGCCGUCCCCGGCUCAGGCUCCGCGCCCUGCGCCGCGCUCCCACGGCCACCCGGGUGCCCCCUCCUGCAGCCCCUCCGCUCGCCCUUCCUCCUCCGCCGUCUGCUUCCUCUUCCUCAGCGCGGGCAGGGCCUCCGCGCCCGCGUUCCCCUCCUCGCCCGCAGGCGGCCCGCAUCCCGCGUCCCGCGUCCCCUCCUCCCCCCCCGGAGGCGGCAGCCCUCGCGCGCCCACCGCCCGGCCCGGCCCGGCCCGCCCGGCCCGGCCCGCUCCCCCUCCCCCUCCCCCGCGGCCACUCGCGCUCCCAUACCUUACAUGGGCAAAUGCGUGCAGGCAAAGUCAGGAAUUCAGGCCCCUGACGUCAGCCUCCAGCUCUCAGGGCACCGCACGGGAGCCCGGGGGAGGGGGUGGGGACGGCGGGAGGGAGGAGGGGGAGAGGCACCAACCAGCAGCCGCUCCAGCCCUGCCGAAGUUUCACUUUUUGUCUGUGGGUCCGCUCCCGGGCCCCGCGCGAGCCUUCCCGGGAUAAGCAGCGCCGGCGGGAAGGGGCGAGCCGCGCGCUGCAAGGUAAGGGCGGGCUGCGCGGCCGGGGCGCGGGGCGCGGGGCGCGGGGCGCGGGGCCGGGCGGCCGGGCGGGCGCGGACAAUGGGAGGGGGAGUGCCCGGCGCCUCCUCCUCCGCCCGUGCCUCCGCCUCCAGCCGCCGCCGCCGCCGCCGCCGCCGCCGUCCCGGCCGCCUCCUCCCCGAGGUAUUGUUGCAAAUCC